RNAcentral lists this long non-coding RNA (637 nucleotides) under Homo sapiens (human). RNAcentral's name for it is "HSALNT0278476". The record is from RNAcentral. Lineage: Eukaryota; Metazoa; Chordata; Mammalia; Primates; Hominidae.
CCUGACUGGUCCCUAUCACAGGCCUCACCUUGCUCCUGAGGUCUGAGCACCCUACUCCUCAGGGCACUGUGAGCUCAGAAGCAAGAGACAGAACAGCUCAUGCCCCUGACCAUUUCCUGCUGAAUGCGCAUGCCACAGCUGUGCUCAACGUCCUCACAGGGGAGCCCCACCCACAACCAUGCCCUCUGCCUGCCCCAGAGGGGCCUCUUGUCAGUGCCCACAGAGGCCGGGCCCAGCCUGUACCCCAGGCGCUCAGCUGAGUUUAUCUUCCCGGGAGUCUUCUGGCCUGGCCAUGGUGCCUGUUCUGCCCCAGCUGGGGGUGUGCUGCCUCUCUGCACACAUAGUACUCAGGGAAACACACCCGGGUGGGAUUCAUAAAACCCUAAAGGAAAGCAAGGGCGUGAUCAACCCAAGUCAAAGUAAAGGUGAUCUCUGGGGAGGGGAGGAAUCGCUGGGGAGGUCACCAGGGCGCUCCUAGGACUCUCGUAAUGUUCUGGUCAUAACUGGGGAAUGGGCACACCUGGUAUUAUUGUUGUAAUGUGUACACGUGUGUGGUUUUUUUUUUUUUUUUUAAAUUGAGUUUUGCUUUAUCACCCAGGCUGGAGUGCAGAGGUGUGAUCACGACUCACUGCAGCCU